UUUGAUUUGGUUUCUGUCUUCUCCGACAAAUUUAGCAUGGCUUUGGUUUAUGUAGUAUACGGGAAUGUGUGUAAACUUAUAGUUUGUUUCUCUCCUUAUUCCUAAUUAUUCCUAAUCAUUAUGCAUGUAAGUGAACCAGAGAAGCGGGGCUACUUUAGCCAAUUCCACCUCCCGAGUUCUAGAAUCACCCUCAGUCUCUCAGAAUAUCUCCCUCCCUCGACUCGACUCAUUCCCUGUCCCUUCCCUCGACUCCAACUCUCAGACUCUCACUUACAUUGCUUAACGUCGUCGGGACCAACACAACAGCACCACUUCCGCCGUCACAACCACCAUCACCCCAUCACCCCAUCACCACUAUCGAGCUUCAACUCUCACACUCUCACAGCGUCGUCGCUACCAACACAAUGGUACCACAUCCGCCGUCGCGACCACCAUCACCCCAUCACCACCGUCGACGAACACUGCUACCACCAGUGGUCCAGUACCACUACCAACCAUCAUCCCUUUAAAAUUUAGAUCUAAGUCUAAGCAAAACGUUUUUCUGGAACAGCCAUGUCUCUGAUUGUUGUAAGGGGAUGUUCUUCAUUGCAAGAAUAAAGGAAUCUUCUUCAUUACAAUUGAUGUCAACAAGCCACUUUCAGAUCAAGGACCAUUUGAUGUUGUUUUGC
This is an RNA transcript of Malus domestica (apple), 668 nucleotides long. It is a transcript of the gene named inositol-tetrakisphosphate 1-kinase 3-like, with no coding region annotated. Lineage: Eukaryota; Viridiplantae; Streptophyta; Magnoliopsida; Rosales; Rosaceae. The record is from RefSeq and is a predicted model, not a curated record.